RNAcentral lists this ribosomal RNA (378 nucleotides) under uncultured eukaryote. RNAcentral describes it as "partial 18S ribosomal RNA". It matches the Rfam family "Eukaryotic small subunit ribosomal RNA", at positions 592 to 975 of the family's 1831-position model. The record is from RNAcentral.
CAAUAGCGUAUAUUUAAGUUGUUGCAGUUAAAAAGCUCGUAGUUGGAUUUCGGAUGGGACUUGCCGGUCCGUCGUUUCGAUGUGCACUGGCCAGUCCUAUCUUGUUGUCGGGGACUAGCUCCUGGGCUUCACUGUCCGGGACUAGGAGCUGACGAGGUUACGUUGAGUAAAUUAGAGUGUUCAAAGCAAGCCUACGCUCUGAAUACAUUAGCAUGGAAUAACACGAUAGGACUCUGGCUUAUCUUGUUGGUCUGUGAGACCAGAGUAAUGAUUAAGAGGGACAGUCGGGGGCAUUCGUAUUUCAUUGUCAGAGGUGAAAUUCUUGGAUUUAUGAAAGACGAACUUCUGCGAAAGCAUUUGUCAAGGAUGUUUNCAUUA